Molecule: long non-coding RNA, 872 nt
Organism: Camellia sinensis
Lineage: Eukaryota; Viridiplantae; Streptophyta; Magnoliopsida; Ericales; Theaceae
Source: RefSeq, a predicted model, not a curated record
UAUCAAACUGACAAUAAAUUUAUAAAAAAAAAUGCUUACAUAAUAUUCAGUAAUUCCUGCAAUCAUCAUCACUCAUAAAAAAUAAGAGAAAGAUCUCCAGGAAGCAUUUGAGAUCAUAAUUUGCUACAGCGAUAAACAAAGAAAAACAGGUAAUGCUAUGCCAAUAAGUAGAUUAGUUAAAAAUUGCAGUUGUACAAAGACUCGUAAGAAUACCAAAUGCUAGAAAAGAGGGUUUAAAACACGAAGCUUUUUGUGACGGUUCAAAACCGGCCUUUUUUUUGCGAUGGCAAACAAAUAUGUUGCGAAUUUAUUUAUUUAUAUGUUGCGAAUUUAUUUAUUUAUUUUUUGUGAUGGCAAUUGACAGUCGCCAAAAAAUGCAACAGAUAAAUACACUUUUUAGAGACGAAUAACCCGAAACCGUCGCAAAAAGUAGUACUGUAUUCGAGGAAACCCCCCUCUCCUCUCCUCUCCUAUCACUCUCGCAGACCCUCACAAUCUCUCUCUCGUAUACCCUCACAGACUCUCUCUAGCAACGGCGGCGACUUCCUUUUGGUGACAACAUCGGCGUCUCGCAGACCCUUUCAAGCUCCCUCUGACAUCCAGGAAUGGAUGUGGUGAUUCCGCCUAACUAAAUGCUAGAAAAUAUGUGUAUUGAGAGUCCAAAACUCUCAUUCUGCUGUGACUCUGCCUGUAAGCCAAGGGCUGCAUUUUUGUGCGUUUGAAUAACCAUUUUGUGUAACUAGGCUUUAGCCUUGGAAACUUGUAAACCCUUGGCGGUAUUUAUUUGUUUAAUUACUUCUUAUUAGUCUAAUGUAUUAUCGCAUGAGGAAUUAUUUACAUUAUGAAAUGCAAGUGUGGGAUUGUAUAAUUGG